RNAcentral lists this ribosomal RNA (437 nucleotides) under uncultured Oscillospiraceae bacterium. RNAcentral describes it as "partial 16S ribosomal RNA". It matches the Rfam family "Bacterial small subunit ribosomal RNA", at positions 341 to 792 of the family's 1533-position model. The record is from RNAcentral. Lineage: Bacteria; Bacillati; Bacillota; Clostridia; Eubacteriales; Oscillospiraceae.
ACGGGAGGCAGCAGUGGGGAAUAUUGGGCAAUGGGCGAAAGCCUGACCCAGCAACGCCGCGUGAAGGAAGAAGGUUUUCGGAUUGUAAACUUCUUUUAUCAGGGACGAAGAAUGUGACGGUACCUGAUGAAUAAGCCACGGCUAACUACGUGCCAGCAGCCGCGGUAAUACGUAGGUGGCAAGCGUUAUCCAGAUUUACUGGGUGUAAAGGGCGCGUAGGCGGGGGUGCAAGUCAGAUGUGAAAUCCAUGGGCUUAACCCAUGAACUGCAUUUGAAACUGUAUUUCUUGAGUGUCGGAGAGGCAGACGGAAUUCCUAGUGUAGCGGUGAAAUGCGCAGAUAUUAGGAGGAACACCAGUGGCGAAGGCGGUCUACUGGACGAUAACUGACGCUGAGGCGCGAAAGCGUGGGGAGCAAACAGGAUUAGAUACCCUGGUA